Molecule: ribosomal RNA, 279 nt
Filed under: uncultured bacterium
Lineage: Bacteria
Description: partial 16S ribosomal RNA
Rfam family: Bacterial small subunit ribosomal RNA
Source: RNAcentral
CAUCCCUACGGGAGGCAGCAGUGGGGAAUAUUGCACAAUGGGGGAAACCCUGAUGCAGCGACGCCGCGUGAGCGAUGAAGUAUUUCGGUAUGUAAAGCUCUAUCAGCAGGGAAGAAAAUGACGGUACCUGACUAAGAAGCCCCGGCUAACUACGUGCCAGCAGCCGCGGUAAUACGUAGGGGGCAAGCGUUAUCCGGAUUUACUGGGUGUAAAGGGAGCGUAGACGGUCCUGCAAGCGAGAUGUGAAAGCCCGGGGCUCACCGCCGGGACGGCAUUUGG